Molecule: ribosomal RNA, 497 nt
Filed under: uncultured bacterium
Lineage: Bacteria
Description: partial 16S ribosomal RNA
Rfam family: Bacterial small subunit ribosomal RNA
Source: RNAcentral
GAUGAACGCUGGCGGCGUUCCUAAUACAUGCAAGUCGAGCGAACGGACGAGAAGCUUUCUUCUCUGAUGUUAGCGGCGGACGGGUUAGUAACACGUGGAUAACCUACCUAUUAGACUGGGAUAACUUCGGGAAACCGGCGCUAAUACCGGAUAAUAUUUUGAACCGCAUGGUUCAAAAGUGAAAGACGGUCUUGCUGUCACUUAUAGAUGGAUCCGCGCUGCAUUAGCUAGUUGGUAAGGUAACGGCUUACCAAGGCAACGAUGCAUAGCCGACCUGAGAGGGUGAUCGGCCACACUGGAACUGAGACACGGUCCAGACUCCUACGGGAGGCAGCAGUAGGGAAUCUUCCGCAAUGGGCGAAAGCCUGACGGAGCAACGCCGCGUGAGUGAUGAAGGUCUGCGGAUCGUAAAACUCUGUUAUUAGGGAAGAACAUAUGUGUAAGUAACUGUGCACAUCUUGACGGUACCUAAUCAGAAAGCCAAGGCUAACUACGUG